GCAAUACUGUGUGCAUAGUUGUCAUCUAUGUUUGGUAGCAAUAUCUGUCUGUGUUUUGCAUUCAGGUCUUGCUAUCCACACAAAGAGUAUGCAGCCAAAGAGUAACAUGGGAUCAUAGUACUGGUCUUGUGUUGUGUGUUUGAACACAUCUUUUCCACUGGCCAGCCUCCAAUUCCCCAGACAUAA
Small nucleolar RNA from Mesocricetus auratus (golden hamster), 186 nucleotides. Ensembl annotates it as small nucleolar RNA, H/ACA box 23. Its record names the gene Snora23. The record is from Ensembl. NCBI's taxonomy places the organism in Eukaryota, Metazoa, Chordata, Mammalia, Rodentia, Cricetidae.